RNAcentral lists this ribosomal RNA (492 nucleotides) under uncultured bacterium. RNAcentral's name for it is "partial 16S ribosomal RNA". It matches the Rfam family "Bacterial small subunit ribosomal RNA", at positions 29 to 507 of the family's 1533-position model. The record is from RNAcentral.
AGUGAACGCUGGCGGUAGGCCUAACACAUGCAAGUCGAACGGCAGCACAGUAAGAGCUUGCUCUUACGGGUGGCGAGUGGCGGACGGGUGAGGAAUACAUCGGAAUCUACUUUUUCGUGGGGGAUAACGUAGGGAAACUUACGCUAAUACCGCAUACGACCUACGGGUGAAAGCAUGGGAUCUUCGGACUUUGCGCGAUUGAAUGAGCCGAUGUCGGAUUAGCUAGUUGGCGGGGUAAAGGCCCACCAAGGCGACGAUCCGUAGCUGGUCUGAGAGGAUGAUCAGCCACACUGGAACUGAGACACGGUCCAGACUCCUACGGGAGGCAGCAGUGGGGAAUAUUGGACAAUGGGCGAAAGCCUGAUCCAGCAAUACCGCGUGGGUGAAGAAGGCCUUCGGGUUGUAAAGCCCUUUUGUUGGGAAAGAAAAGCAGCAGGUUAAUACCCCGCUGUUCUGACGGUACCCAAAGAAUAAGCACCGGCUAACUUCGUG